RNAcentral lists this ribosomal RNA (253 nucleotides) under uncultured bacterium. RNAcentral's name for it is "partial 16S ribosomal RNA". It matches the Rfam family "Bacterial small subunit ribosomal RNA", at positions 524 to 776 of the family's 1533-position model. The record is from RNAcentral.
UACGAAGGGGGCUAGCGUUGUUCGGAAUCACUGGGCGUAAAGCGUGCGCAGGCGGUUGUGCAAGACCGAUGUGAAAUCCCCGGGCUCAACCUGGGAAUGGCAUCGGUGACUGCACGGCUAGAGUGUGUCAGAGGGGGGUAGAAUUCCACGUGUAGCAGUGAAAUGCGUAGAGAUGUGGAGGAAUACCGAUGGCGAAGGCAGCCCCCUGGGAUAACACUGACGCUCAUGCACGAAAGCGUGGGGAGCAAACAGG